This 2325-nucleotide long non-coding RNA is filed under the name Triticum aestivum (bread wheat). Its description in RNAcentral is "long non-coding RNA (TAES_LNC024507)". The record is from RNAcentral. Lineage: Eukaryota; Viridiplantae; Streptophyta; Magnoliopsida; Poales; Poaceae.
ACACCCCAAAAUUAACGCUAACCACCCAUGUAAUCUCACCCCUCCCUCGAGCGCGGGCAGCCACCGACGAAGGAGGCCGCGCUUGAGCCCGCGGCGCGGCGCCUCCCGCUCCCCCUCUCCUCUCCGGCCGCACCGGUCUCCUCCCUAAGCAUGAAGUGGGCACACGGGGGCGGGCUCCAGUGAACGUGGUCACGCGCGAUCCAGCUGCUGGCGGCAUCCGCAUCCCUCGCCUCUCGGGUCUCUCCUUCCUUCCUAAGAAGUGGGUGCUCGCAGGGCGGCCUCCCCGCCAACCGCCUCCAGGAGCUCUGCUUCUGCAACGGUGGCAUCUACGUCAAGCUCGUCCAGCACAUCGCAAAGCUGGUAUAGAAGGGAAUUCCCAACUCUGCGUGGAUACGCCUGAAUUCGCUUUGGGUUCAUUUAUCUGUUUGUUUGUAAGAUUGCAUAAUUUUGUGGCUGAGGAUUAGCUGCUUGUUUGCUUGUACUACCACAAGAGUAUGUGCAGACAUGAGGGCGUCGAUGCUCAAGAGGUGCCCAAUCUCCUUAUACGAGGACGUCUGUGGAGUCUUCAAGAAAGAGAUUGGAGAAUUUUCACAAACUGUUAGUUCCUUCUUAUGGUAAUGUGUAGAAUUGGUUAUGAUAGAGAGAAGGACUCUGAUCUGCAUGGUGAGGACAUGCUUCCUGAAACAUCUGUUAGUAUUCAAUGAUUCCAACAGAUAAAGGACUUUCCAUGCUCUCAGACAACAGCAUUCUUUAUCCAACAGUGAUGCGAUUUUGUCUAUCUGAAUAUUGUGUUAUCAUUUGUUUAAAUUCGAGUGAUAUUAUACAUGUAGCUUGCUGGGUAUAUUUUACAAUAGUUACUUUUGGAAAUUUCUUAGAGAUUAUAGAUGGGACAACAGACAACAAUGCAGAUACGUCAUAGCUGGGCACCAUGAUCAUUGCCCCCAUAUCUCCUUUUAUGUUAUGAAGAUAUACAUGUCGGUUUCCUUCUUGCUAAUUUUUGGAGAUCAUAAAUGAUAUUAAUAUUAUGGUUGUACUGCAAUUUUCUUGUGUCUGUGUGUACAAACAGAUCGAAUCUAAUUCAAAUGACUUAGAUUAAUUUGCUUUUCCAAGUUAUUGCUGGGCCAACUAUUGUCCUUUAUGAAACAUAUCUUUUCACUUCUCUUUUGUUCCCAGGAAAUCUGGUCCGAGCCCGGCCGUAGUUUUAUAUAAGGAUGUUGGAGGCAGCAUCGGAAGAGACAAGUCUGCGGUAAAAUUUUCCCUGACACAGUAAUAGACUAAUAGUGUUAUCUAUAGUCUAAGAUGAAAUCAACCUUUACUGUUAUCUGAAGCGUAUGUUUUCUUAGUGUUUUCUAAGCAUUGUCUGGUCAUCAAUUGACUUGUCAUCCUAUCUUUUGUAAAUCAUGGAUUUUUAAAGUUCAAAAAGCGUGUACAUAACCUAUUUCACUUUAUAGUGAUAAAUGGAUUGAGUGCUAGUGACACGGAAAGCCUCUUUUGUGCAUCUAAUAACACAAACAUUUUCCAAGUAUUUCUUUGAAUAUGGAAACAUUUUUUGAUCGUCACCUAGAAAAUAAAUUCGCACAAGCUUACUGACAUAGAGUUGUAGGUCAGCGCACACUAAAAAUAUUUAAAUUGAGAGGAAUCUUUCCGAGAUAGUUUACGGUUCCUAUUUUUCUGGUUAUGCUUUUUUGAAAAUAAAUUUUAGUCAUGCUUCCUUCUCUACUGCUUGUUGAAAAAUCAAUUUUAUUAUUAGAAUAUGAUGAUAAAUCUGAUUCAGACUGGAAUUCACUUUUCUUGAAUAGAAAACAGAAGGAUCAGGUUGUACGUGGUAGCAUAUAUGCCUAGAAAAUGAAAAGGAUAAUAGGUUCCUAAGUACUAGAAUUGUCAUACCAUUCCCGGAAGUUACUUCUUGAUGUCAUUCCAGAAAAUAGAAGGGUCAAUAAAAUGUUCUCGGUGAUCAUUUUAGGUGUCCUUUUAGACAGCAACACCAAGUAGCAGGGCUUCAUCUUAGUACUGAUCAACAGGAGCAUGUUCGAACUACUGCACAGGUUAAAAUCAUUUCUUGACGACUUUUCUUAUGCUCCUAGGGAAUCUUGUCCAGACUCCACAACGUUGUAAUAACACAAAAGUUGGAGGUACGAUUGAAAGAGACCAGCUAGAUUCUUCUUCCGGGUAUUAAAAAGAAAACCUGGCUAGAGAUUUCAUGCCAUGCCAUUCCAUUUAUCUUUGUUUUGUGCUUAUCGUAUCUGAUGACAUGAUUAACAUUUAUUUCAUAAUUAGCAUAUACUUCAACACAUGAUAUGUUUUGUUUUAUUUAUGAACAACAAG